CCUACGGGAGGCAGCAGUAGGGAAUCUUGCUCAAUGGGCGAAAGCCUGAAGCAGCAACGCCGCGUGGAGGAUGAAGGUCUUAGGAUCGUAAAACCCUUUUGUUAGAGAAGAAAAUGCGUGAAUGUAACGGUUCACGUUUGGACUGUAUCGAGCCAGAAGGCGACGGCUAACGACGUGCCAGCAGCCGCGGUAAUACGGAGGGGGCAAGCGUUAUCCGGGUUUGUUGAGCGUAAAGGGAGCGCAGUCGGGUUGUUAAGUCUGAUGUGAAAGCCUGCGGCUUAACCGGAGUAGUGCAUUUGAAACUGGGAGUCUGGAGUGCAGAAGAGGUAGGUGGAAUUCGUGGUGUAGCGGUGAAAUGCGUAGAGAUCAAGAAGAACACUCAUUGCGAAGGCGGCCUGCUGGUCUGUUACUGACGCUGAUGCUCGAAAGCGUGGGUAGCAAACAGGAUUAGAUACCCGAGUAGUC
RNAcentral lists this ribosomal RNA (465 nucleotides) under uncultured bacterium. RNAcentral describes it as "partial 16S ribosomal RNA". It matches the Rfam family "Bacterial small subunit ribosomal RNA", at positions 338 to 795 of the family's 1533-position model. The record is from RNAcentral.